This 2514-nucleotide long non-coding RNA is filed under the name Triticum aestivum (bread wheat). RNAcentral's name for it is "long non-coding RNA (TAES_LNC008570)". Lineage: Eukaryota; Viridiplantae; Streptophyta; Magnoliopsida; Poales; Poaceae. The record is from RNAcentral.
ACGGUUCUUCGUUCUUCAGGUAAAUAUAAAUGUUUAAUUUUUAUUAGCUAUGAGAUUGGUAGUACAUCUCUGUAGUUUUUUAUUCUUUCUACUUGUUAUUGUUGAAUUUGUCCAUUUAGUUGCUGGGUAUUGUGUAUUGCCAACAGAAGAACAAUGAACAACAGCUUGAGUACAGUAGAAGCAGAUCUGUUCUGGGGUGAUGCUUAUGUUUGUUGGAUUCUUAUUUUACUCAGACGCAACAUGUUGAUUAGUGUUGUGACAUAAUUAUGGUAUUGUGUAUUGCUACCAUGAGCAGCGCACCAAGUGUACAUAAACGCUAACUGGUUUCUAGCAGGAAGCAAUACACUAGCAAAUCUAGCUAUUCUGGCGAUUCUUCAGUGGCAAGCCAAAACGCACACGCAUGAGACACAGUGGCUAUUAUUUUCUCUCUCUCCAUGCAAAGAUACAUAUGCUGAUGCAUGUAUAUAUACGCGCCCGUGCAGCCGACUUGUACAACUCUGAAUCUAUUUCAAACUAGUUACUUCCCUAAUCUAAUCACUAGGACUACAAUAGGAAACAAACAACUAUUCGCUAUGGACAAGUUUGUUAAUUCCAACAGCUUGGUGGAUCGCUGCUAGACAACUUUCCAAUCAGCUGAAGCAAAUGGAACAAGUUGAUAUGUUGUGGUUUUGUAAUGAUGGUAGUUGUUGGCCUCAAUUUCUACUGCUUUUGCUUUGCGCUGUGUCGGAUACCUUUUUAGCUUGCCCAGUACAUGGGUUACUUUAGCCUCCCUUGCUCUAGUGUUAAACUCGAACACUUGUAUUCUUUAGAUUUUUUUUGCCCUUUCUCUGCAGCAACACAUUGGUUUUACAGAAAUGAAAUAGGAGGGGGGAGCUCUCUUUUUUUCAUAAAGAAGUUUUGAUAUUGUAUCAAAAAACACAGAUCUGAAUUUAAAAUUGUACGUCAUACCCAAACUCUUGAAUUUCUAUGCAGAAAGGGAAUAUGUACUAUAAUUCCAAACGCUCCAUGGAAGGAAUUGAAUUCCUACACAAUAGUUUGUGUAGCAUUGAGUUGGGUUUAGCCCAACUAGUUUCGGCUGUACCAUGCAAUACACAAGAAAAUGAGGAGUAGUGUAUCGGGAGCAUCAUUCCAAAGCAUGUUACCAUCCUCACACCUAAGGAUAUCAAUGCAAGGGGCACAUGCUCUAGAAUAAAGGGGCAUAGGGAUGGUGUGAGGAGUGGAUCUGGUGAGAAGAGAAGGCCUGGAAUUCAUCAAAAAGUCGCGCGCAAAUGCAACAUUUGUAAGGAAAUGGUGUUUCAUGAUGCAAGAACAUGUUCUAAGAAACAAACGACAAAACAAUAGAGGUUUGUGCUUCUUCUUGCUUCGAAGACUACCACUUAUUUGUCUUGCUAUGACCACUCAACUAGGUUGAUUUAAACGAUUAGGCAUACAUAGAUAAUUUACCAGAGAUAUGUGUGCCUUCCAUUUUAAGGACCUAUGGUAUCGCUACAGCAAGGAGUAUAUGAUUUAGUACUAUUCCUUCAUCCAUGACAUGAGCCUAUCUGGCAUCUUGUUCAUUUAUAUUUUCCUGUGUUGUUGUGGUUUUCUUAUUAUUGAAGGUAUAAUAUAAUGCAUGCCACCAAGUUUGUUGUUUAUAGCUAUCAAAUUUGAAUAAUAAUUUACAUCUACAGGGCAUUGAUAAAACUCCCUUUAAAUUGCUCAAUGCCACUUAUUUGUCGUUCCCAUUUGUGCACCAAUCAUGGAAUUGUAAUCCAUUUAUCGUAGGUCUAUAAUGGAAUAAUGAACUAUGCUGCAACAAAAUAUUUGUACUCUCUCUGUUAUGUUUCCUAGGUUGGAGUGCUGAAUGAAGCUGGACAUAUAGAACGACUGUCUCUCUUCUCAAGAUAUGCCAUUUGGUAUAUGUUGUUGACUGACCCCUAUUUACUUGUGUGUUCACCUAGGUAGAUUGAGCUGAUCAAGUGUAUAAGAGCCCAUGGAGGUUGUCAUCUCUUUCCCAGCAUGAAGCUCGAUUGCUAGGAAGCACUAACACGAGGCAAAACGACAGAUAUUUUCAGUCUUGUACCAGCAAGAUGCUUGUUGGGCGAUGAUAAUUUCAGCCUUUACCACUUGGUCUUGCCGGCCAUGUACUAAAAAUGAUCUGUAUGGCUCAUGUACCCAAGUACUCAAAUGCUUGCUGAGCACUGAUAAUUUCAGUCCUUAAUUUGCUCUACUUCCAGUUUGACAUGUAUGCGUGGUUCUACUUGCCUCUUCGUGAUGUGUUCUCAUGUACUGAAAUGCUUGCCGAGCAGCUACAAUUUCAAUCAUUAGGUUGCUAUAUUUCCAGUUUGACAUGUAUGUGUGAUUCUACCUGAUCCAGGAUGGCUUAUUAUCCCAUGUGCUCAAAUAUUUGUUAUAUAUACGCUUGUUUCUUAGUGACCAAGAUGUUCAACUCUCUUGAAAAGUUAGUGGUGUAACAUAAAUGUGUCUGGAUUUUGUGCAGUAAAUAUUUGCUCAGAUUUUAUAUGAGACUAGUUG